GUCUACGGUCAUACUACGUUGAAAACACCGGUUCUCGUCCGAUCACCGAAUUUAAGCAACGUCGGGCCCGGUUAGUACUUGGAUGGGUGACCGCCUGGGAAUACUGGGUGCUGUAGACU
Molecule: ribosomal RNA, 119 nt
Filed under: Anneissia japonica
Lineage: Eukaryota; Metazoa; Echinodermata; Crinoidea; Comatulida; Comatulidae
Source: RNAcentral